Molecule: ribosomal RNA, 1078 nt
Filed under: Listeria monocytogenes
Lineage: Bacteria; Bacillati; Bacillota; Bacilli; Caryophanales; Listeriaceae
Description: partial 23S ribosomal RNA
Rfam family: Bacterial large subunit ribosomal RNA
Source: RNAcentral
GGGGGAACCCACUAUCUUUAGUCGGAUAGUAUCCUUACGUGAAUACAUAGCGUAAGGAAGGCAGACCCAGGGAACUGAAACAUCUAAGUACCUGGAGGAAGAGAAAGAAAAAUCGAUUUCCUGAGUAGCGGCGAGCGAAACGGAAAGAGCCCAAACCAAGAAGCUUGCUUCUUGGGGUUGUAGGACACUCUAUACGGAGUUACAAAAGAAAGUUAUAAAUGAAGCGGUCUGGAAAGGCCCGCCAAAGACGGUAACAGCCCGGUAGUUGAAAUGGCUUUCCCUCCAGAGUGGAUCCUGAGUACGGCGGAACACGUGAAAUUCCGUCGGAAUCCGGGAGGACCAUCUCCCAAGGCUAAAUACUCCCUAGUGACCGAUAGUGAACCAGUACCGUGAGGGAAAGGUGAAAAGCACCCCGGAAGGGGAGUGAAACAGUUCCUGAAACCGUGUGCCUACAAGUAGUUAGAGCCCGUUAAUGGGUGAUAGCGUGCCUUUUGUAGAAUGAACCGGCGAGUUACGAUUUGUUGCAAGGUUAAGCGGAAAAAGCGGAGCCGUAGCGAAAGCGAGUCUGAAUAGGGCGCAUAAGUAACAGGUCGUAGACCCGAAACCAGGUGAUCUACCCAUGUCCAGGAUGAAGGUAAGGUAAUACUUACUGGAGGUCCGAACCCACGCACGUUGAAAAGUGCGGGGAUGAGGUGUGGGUAGCGGAGAAAUUCCAAUCGAACUUGGAGAUAGCUGGUUCUCUCCGAAAUAGCUUUAGGGCUAGCCUCGAGGUAAAGAGUCAUGGAGGUAGAGCACUGUUUGGACUAGGGGCCCUUCUCGGGUUACCGAAUUCAGAUAAACUCCGAAUGCCAUGUACUUAUACUCGGGAGUCAGACUGCGAGUGAUAAGAUCCGUAGUCGAAAGGGAAACAGCCCAGACCACCAGUUAAGGUCCCCAAAUAUAUGUUAAGUGGAAAAGGAUGUGGGGUUGCUUAGACAACCAGGAUGUUGGCUUAGAAGCAGCCACCAUUGAAAGAGUGCGUAAUAGCUCACUGGUCGAGUGACCCCGCGCCGAAAAUGUACCGGGGCUAAACAUAUUA